RNAcentral lists this ribosomal RNA (744 nucleotides) under Ricordea florida. RNAcentral describes it as "partial 16S ribosomal RNA". It matches the Rfam family "Bacterial large subunit ribosomal RNA", at positions 1827 to 2502 of the family's 2925-position model. Lineage: Eukaryota; Metazoa; Cnidaria; Anthozoa; Corallimorpharia; Ricordeidae. The record is from RNAcentral.
AAGUAAUGAUGUAGACGUAUGGGGGGUGAGUCUGCCCAAUGGUUGUAUCUGAAGGGGUCGGUAGGGUCGAUUCUAUAAAGACAAUUGAAUGGCUGCGGUAACAGUGACCGUGAAAAUGUAGCGUAAUCAAUUGUCAAUUAAUUGUUGGCCGGUAUGAAUGGUGUCACGAAGGCCUCACUGUCUUAAGAAAAUCUCCUGUGAAAUUGAAUUUGUAGUAUUGAUGCUACAUCAAAUUUGUUAGACGAGAAGUCCCCAUGGAACUUUACUGGAGAUUUAUAUGGCCUAUCUGACAGAUAAAUUGUUUAGAUUAUGUGGUGUUAACUGUUUUAAGUGAAAAAAUAUAUAGGUGUUCUUAGAGUAGUCUUCAGACUAAAGUAAAAAACACAUGUAUGAAAAUUUUAGUUAGUAAAACUCACUUUUUUAUUUUUAGAGGGUUAACUCUUCUUUUGAAUUAAGUUCGAUUGGUGGGGGGUACCACCCUUUUGGAGGUGAAUCUGGGUUAGAGAAAUGAGGUAAGUUAGAAAAUUUGGUAGGGGCGAUCGCCUUUUAAAAAGAACGAAGGUGGCGUAAGAUACAUAUUUAAUAGCUGUCGUCUGACUGUGAAGGGGGGGCCCUGAGCAGACACUAAAAACAGCCUUGUGCGGGUAAUAGUGGUUGCAGUGACCCGUUUUUUAAGGUGAAAUAGUUAACGAUAAACAAAUAAAAGUUACCCUGGGGAUAACAGCGCAAUGCGUAGAGGGUUUC